This is a long non-coding RNA of Capsicum annuum, 1123 nucleotides long. RefSeq lists it as uncharacterized. The transcript has 3 exons. The record is from RefSeq and is a predicted model, not a curated record. NCBI's taxonomy places the organism in Eukaryota, Viridiplantae, Streptophyta, Magnoliopsida, Solanales, Solanaceae.
CACGGCCCAUUACAUUAAUCCCUUUUUAUUUCCCAGGAAACAAAAAAAGUCUAGAACCCUAAAGAUCUCUCAUGCGGUCACACCUCUUCCUCGAAAUCCCAAUAUGUUUUAGGCUUUUUUCGACAAUAUUCUAGAUCAUCAAGGCCAUUUUUUAUUAAAAAAAUUUCAUUAGAAAAUGUUCUUAUCACAUUUUUUUUUUUUUAUUCUCAUUUGUUCUGUGUAUGAAUAAAAACGAAGACGGAGUGAUCUCUCUUCAUUUCAUUGAUAUAUCUAAAGAUACCCCAAGAAUUCGAAAUCUUUUUAUCAUCCCAGAUUGUCCAAAUCAGUCAAAAACCCCUCAAGAAUUCUCCUAUAUAUAGCCCCACAAUUCUAUUGUUUGUGAGUGAACAAUUUGAUAGUUGAAAACCCUCUAGAACUCCUUUGAGCAUGAAAUUUUGAUUGAGAAUGAAGAAUUUUAUUGUGGAGUCGAGUCCGGUGAAGUGCAACUCGUGGUGAGCUGUUCCCAAAGAGGUACUUUAAUGGCUAAGAUAAGUUUGAGGAGACUUUGUAAGCAAGAAGACGAUCAUGAGUUGGUCGAAGUUCGAUGAAAACAUGGACAUGUUUUGCCUUUGAUGACUUCAUGGAGCUCAAGAAAUCUAGAAUGCUAGAUCAUGCGAUUUUUGGCUUUGGAAGCAUGAUUCUAUUGAUGAAAGAUCGAAAUUUGAUAUUUCUAAAUUAUUGGGAAGAAUUGGGGAGCUUGAGGAAAGAGUUGAAUCUUCGACAAAUUGUGCAUUUUUUGAACACAAAAUAGUGAUGACAAGACUACUAGGAUAACCAAAUCUGUGGAAAUCAAAAUAGAUAUGAACAAAAUAGAAUUGCAAAUGAAUAAUUUUCAGGGUGAUUUGAUGAUGAUGAAGGUAAAUGAGAAGAAAUGGAAGAUCAAGUUGGCUAAGUCCAAGAAAAGGGACAAACAACUAUGGACUACUCUCAUUUGUGCAUGUAUUUUGGGUGUUAGUUUUCUAGUUCAAUUUAUGUUCUUGAAAGGAGCUCCAAGAAGGCUUCCCUAAACUAAGUUGCUUUGUUUUUGUUAUGUUUUAAGGGCUGAAAUUUGUAUUAAUUAUUAGGUGUUACCUUUAAAAAAACU